AUUUUAUCCUAUUUGAUCUACAUAAAAUGUAAAAGUCAAUACCUAAUUUAUGCAACAUGUUAUUUGUAAAUGGAGAUUUAACAAUAGGGUAGAAUGCAGAAAAGACAUUCUGCUCUUUUCUGAUCUACAGGAAGUAAUUCAAACAUUUUUAAGUGCAAACAUUUUGGAUUUGUUUCUUGAACAUCCCUGUCAACAAGUUUUUAAAUUUAUAAUUAUAGUACAAUUUAAUAGUUAUUACUGAUUUACAGUGCUGGGGUGUGGUAGAAUGUGUCGUCAUUUACCUCAUUGGUGACUUUGUAUCAUUUGUUAGUUCUAAAAACAUAUUUCAAUGAAGUAAAUGCAUUUGCAAAUAAAUCUUCUUUGAAAAGUUUUAUUUUAAUUAAGAUUGAUGGUAUUGUAAUUCAUUACUCUAUUACACAAUUUUAUCAACCAUUAUCUACAUAUUAAGAUUCAAAAUUCAAAACCUCCUUUGUAAUGAAUAAAAGUAUCCCAUCUAGAAAUAAAACAUGUUAACAUAACUUUAACAACAUAGAAGAAUUGAUAAAGGACAUACUUGACUCUUCUGAUCUAGGGGAAGUAACUCAAACAUUUUAAUUCAAUGUAAAUUACAAAUAUAUUGAGUACAGUUAUGGAAUUGUAUGUGAUUAACAUUUUGAGGGUGUGUAAAUAUCUGUGUUGUGCAUACUCAUAGUAUAUUUUUGACUGUAUGUGUCAUAUGAUAAUUAUAACAAAAAAAUAUAUCAAUGACAGUUAAAUUUAUUUGCUAUGUACAUUUAUCUGCUUUAAGUUUGCUAGUACAAAAUGAAUUGUAAGUGAUUACUUUGUAAAACAUUUUAUCUGUCUUGUCUACAUAAGAUAUCAAAUUAAGAACCUCAUUUAUGAUAAAUACAAGUAGCCUAACUCAAAAUAAUCCAUGUAAACAUAGCUUUGGUAUCAAGGACAUUCUGUACUUCUCUGAUCUAGGGGAAGUAACUCCUUUUUUUUAUAAUUGUUUGUUAUAACCUAAAUAAAAUGUUUCAAAAUGUUUCCUAUAGGUAUGGUGAGGUUGUUUUGAAUUUUUUAUGUCAUUGUUUUAAUAUGAUUUUUGUUCAUAUAUCAAAUUGUUUUCCCAAAAAGUAAAAAUAAGAUUUCAUUCUACUCACUGAAACAGUCUUAUCUUUAUUUAUCUUCACAUUCAUUGCAUUUGGUUGACUUUAUUUCUCACAAUUUUCAAAUGAAAAGAAGAUCUAAGUAUAAUAAACAUGUGAAUAUUUGUAUUUGCUGAAAGAUGAUGUAAAGUUAAUAUCUGAUUGCCAAUAUUGGUAAUUCAAUAAAAUAUGCUUUUUCACAGGUAUUUUGUUUUUAAAAAUGUCCCACUGAUUAUACAGGAUUUUUUUUAUUUAAUGAAAAUUAAACUGACUAUACUGACAAGGUUAUUUCUGAUUUUUUUUCUUUUAAUUGUUUUAUUGAUGAGUACAUACAGAUUUAUCAGAAUAUUCAACUUCCAUAUCAACCGAAUUUAUUUAAUUAUUACAGAGAGACAACUCAAAAAUUCAUAUAUUCUAUAUUCUGAUUUGUUGAUAAAAUUAAUUUAAUGAAGUUCAAAUGAAAAGAUGCUGUUUCAGAUGAAUGGCUUAUAAUGCAGUCAGAUAUAGCUGUUAUAUAUACAUUCCAAAAUGAAGUUAUAACUGUUGUGGCUUGUAAUUAAAUUAGAACUUUACAUUGUUGUUUAAUUCUUAUUAUUUCUGACAAAGAAAAAAGACACUAGUUGAUGUUAAUGGCAAAUUUGUAUAAAGAACAGGGCAGAUGUGGG
RNAcentral lists this long non-coding RNA (1792 nucleotides) under Mytilus galloprovincialis (Mediterranean mussel). Lineage: Eukaryota; Metazoa; Mollusca; Bivalvia; Mytilida; Mytilidae. The record is from RNAcentral.